AGGAGGCAGCAGUGGGGAAUCUUGCACAAUGGGGGAAACCCUGAUGCAGCGACGCCGCGUGAGCGAUGAAGCCCUUCGGGGUGUAAAGCUCUUUCGGCAGGGACGAAAACCGACGGUACCUGCAGAAGCAGCUGCGGCUAACUACGUGCCAGCAGCCGCGGUAAUACGUAGGCAGCAAGCGUUGUUCGGAGUUACUGGGCGUAAAGGGUGCGUAGGCGGCCUCUUAAGUUUGGUGUGAAAUCUCCCGGCUCAACUGGGAGGGUGCGCCGGAAACUGAGGGGCUAGAGUGUGGGAGAGGAGAGUGGAAUUCCUGGUGUAGCGGUGAAAUGCGUAGAUAUCAGGAGGAACACCGGUGGCGCAAGCGGCUCUCUGGACCACCACUGACGCUGAGGCACGAAAGCGUGGGGAGCAAACAGGAUUAGAUACCCGAGUAC
RNAcentral lists this ribosomal RNA (434 nucleotides) under uncultured bacterium. Its description in RNAcentral is "bacterial SSU rRNA". It matches the Rfam family "Bacterial small subunit ribosomal RNA", at positions 343 to 793 of the family's 1533-position model. The record is from RNAcentral.